RNAcentral lists this ribosomal RNA (877 nucleotides) under uncultured archaeon. Its description in RNAcentral is "bacterial SSU rRNA". It matches the Rfam family "Archaeal small subunit ribosomal RNA", at positions 32 to 887 of the family's 1478-position model. The record is from RNAcentral.
AUCGGGAUAGGACUAAGACAUGCUAGUCAAGCGCUUACCAGCCAAAGGUGAGUGCGGCACACAGCUCAGUAGCACGUGGCUAACCUACCCUCAGGACAGGGACAACCCCGGGAAACUGGGGCUAAUACCUGAUAGGUGAGGAUGCCUGGAAUGGUUUCUCACUCAAAGGGCUUUGGGAACAUGCUUCCAUUGUCGCCUGGGGAUGGGGCCGCGACCGAUCAGGUUGUUGGUUGAGGUAACGGCUCACCAAGCCUUUAACCGGUACGGGCCGUGAGAGCGGUAGCCCGGAGAUGGGUACUGAGACAAGGACCCAGGCCCUACGGGGCGCAGCAGUCGCGAAAACUCCGCAAUGCACGAAAGUGUGACGGGGCUACCCCGAGUGCCGUCCGCUGAGGAUGGCUUUUCCCUGGUUUAACCAGCCAUGGGAAUAAGGAGAGGGCAAGACUGGUGUCAGCCGCCGCGGUAAUACCAGCUCUCCGAGUGGUAGGGAUGAUUAUUGGGCUUAAAGCGCCCGUAGCCGGCUUAGCAAGUCUCCUGUUAAAUUCAGCGACCUAAUCGUUGAGCCGCGGGAGAUACUACUAGGCUAGGAGGCGGGAGAGGUCGACGGUACUUCUGGGGUAGGGGUGAAAUCCUAUAAUCCCGGGAGGACCACCAGUGGCGAAGGCUGUUGACUAGAACGCGCUCGACGGUGAGGGACGAAAGCUGGGGGAGCAAACCGGAUUAGAUACCCGGGUAGUCCCAGCUGUAAACGAUGCGGGCUAGGUGUUGGGGUGGCUACGUGCCACUUCAGUGCCGCAGGGAAACCAUUAAGCCCGCCGCCUGGGGAGUACGGCCGCAAGGCUGAAACUUAAAGGAAUUGGCGGGAAGGGCGAAUUCG